GACGAACGCUGGCGGCGUGCUUAACACAUGCAAGUCGAACGGAAAGGCCCUGCUUUUGUGGGGUGCUCGAGUGGCGAACGGGUGAGUAACACGUGAGUAACCUGCCCUUGACUUUGGGAUAACUUCAGGAAACUGGGGCUAAUACCGGAUAGGAGCUCCUGCUGCAUGGUGGGGGUUGGAAAGUUUCGGCGGUUGGGGAUGGACGCGCGGCUUAUCAGCUUGUUGGUGGGGUAGUGGCUUACCAAGGCUUUGAAGGGUAGCCGGCCUGAGAGGGUGGCCGGCCACAUUGGUACUGCGAUACGGCCCAGACUCCUACGGGAGGCAGCAGUGGGGAAUAUUGCACAAUGGGCGGAAGCCUGAUGCAGCAACGCCGCGUGCGGGAUGACGGCCUUCUGGUUGUAAACCGCUUUCGCCUGUGACGAAGCGUGAGUGACGGUAAUGGGUAAAGAAGCACCGGCUAACUACGUG
This 468-nucleotide ribosomal RNA is filed under the name uncultured bacterium. Its description in RNAcentral is "partial 16S ribosomal RNA". It matches the Rfam family "Bacterial small subunit ribosomal RNA", at positions 28 to 507 of the family's 1533-position model. The record is from RNAcentral.